This 497-nucleotide ribosomal RNA is filed under the name uncultured bacterium. RNAcentral's name for it is "partial 16S ribosomal RNA". It matches the Rfam family "Bacterial small subunit ribosomal RNA", at positions 28 to 507 of the family's 1533-position model. The record is from RNAcentral.
GAUGAACGCUUGCGGCGUGCCUAAUACAUGCAAGUCGAGCGAACAGACGAGGAGCUUGCUCCUCUGACGUUAGCGGCGGACGGGUGAGUAACACGUGGAUAACCUACCUAUAAGACUGGGAUAACUUCGGGAAACCGGAGCUAAUACCGGAUAAUAUAUUGAACCGCAUGGUUCAAUAGUGAAAGACGGUUUUGCUGUCACUUAUAGAUGGAUCCGCGCCGCAUUAGCUAGUUGGUAAGGUAACGGCUUACCAAGGCGACGAUGCGUAGCCGACCUGAGAGGGUGAUCGGCCACACUGGAACUGAGACACGGUCCAGACUCCUACGGGAGGCAGCAGUAGGGAAUCUUCCGCAAUGGGCGAAAGCCUGACGGAGCAACGCCGCGUGAGUGAUGAAGGUCUUCGGAUCGUAAAACUCUGUUAUUAGGGAAGAACAAAUGUGUAAGUAACUAUGCACGUCUUGACGGUACCUAAUCAGAAAGCCACGGCUAACUACGUG